RNAcentral lists this ribosomal RNA (402 nucleotides) under uncultured prokaryote. RNAcentral describes it as "bacterial SSU rRNA". It matches the Rfam family "Bacterial small subunit ribosomal RNA", at positions 355 to 774 of the family's 1533-position model. The record is from RNAcentral.
UGGGGAAUAUUGGACAAUGGGCGAAAGCCUGAUCCAGCGACGCCGCGUGAGUGAAGAAGUAUUUCGGUAUGUAAAGCUCUAUCAGCAGGGAAGAAAAUGACGGUACCUGACUAAGAAGCCCCGGCUAACUACGUGCCAGCAGCCGCGGUAAUACGUAGGGGGCAAGCGUUAUCCGGAUUUACUGGGUGGAAAGGGAGCGUAGACGGUUAAGCAAGUCUGAAGUGAAAGCCCGGGGCUCAACCCCGGUACUGCUUUGGAAACUGUUUGACUUGAGUGCAGGAGAGGUAAGUGGAAUUCCUAGUGUAGCGGUGAAAUGCGUAGAUAUUAGGAGGAACACCAGUGGCGAAGGCGGCUUACUGGACUGUAACUGACGUUGAGGCUCGAAAGCGUGGGGAGCAAACA